This is a small nuclear RNA of Fukomys damarensis (Damara mole-rat), 104 nucleotides long. NCBI's taxonomy places the organism in Eukaryota, Metazoa, Chordata, Mammalia, Rodentia, Bathyergidae. The record is from Ensembl.
GUGCUCACCUCAGCAGCAUAUAUACUAAAAUUGGAAUGAUACAGAGAUUAGCAUGGCCCCUGUGCAAGGAUGACAUGCAAAUUUGUGAAGCUUUCCUUAUUUUU